Molecule: ribosomal RNA, 292 nt
Filed under: uncultured bacterium
Lineage: Bacteria
Description: partial 16S ribosomal RNA
Rfam family: Bacterial small subunit ribosomal RNA
Source: RNAcentral
GUGCCAGCAGCCGCGGUAAUACAGAGGGUGCUAGCGUUGUUCGGAAUUAUUGGGCGUAAAGCGCGUGUAGGCGGCUCUGCAAGUUGGGUGUGAAAGCCCUCGGCUCAACCGAGGAAGUGCGCCCAAAACUACAAGGCUUGAGUACCGGAGAGGAUGGCGGAAUACCCGGUGUAGAGGUGAAAUUCGUAGAUAUCGGGUGGAACACCAGUGGCGAAGGCGGCCAUCUGGACGGAUACUGACGCUGAGACGCGAAAGCGUGGGGAGCAAACAGGAUUAGAAACCCUUGUAGUCC